UGCUGCACGGCUGUCGUCAGCUCGUGUCGUGAGAUGUUGGGUUAAGUCCCGCAACGAGCGCAACCCACGUAUUUAGUUGCUAACGGUUCGGCCGAGCACUCUAAAUAGACUGCCUUCGUAAGGAGGAGGAAGGUGUGGACGACGUCAAGUCAUCAUGGCCCUUAUGCCCAGGGCGACACACGUGCUACAAUGGCAUAUACAAUGAGACGCAAUACCGCGAGGUGGAGCAAAUCUAUAAAAUAUGUCCCAGUUCGGAUUGUUCUCUGCAACUCGAGAGCAUGAAGCCGGAAUCGCUAGUAAUCGUAGAUCAGCCAUGCUACGGUGAAUACGUUCCCGGGUCUUGUACUCACCGCCCGUCACACCAUGGGAGUUGAUUUCACUCGAAGCCGGAAUACUAAACUAGUUACCGUCCACAGUGGAAUCAGCGACUGGGGUGAAGUCGUAACAAGGUAACCGUAGGAGAACCUGCGGUUGGAUCACCUCCUUU
RNAcentral lists this ribosomal RNA (487 nucleotides) under Campylobacter coli. RNAcentral describes it as "bacterial SSU rRNA". It matches the Rfam family "Bacterial small subunit ribosomal RNA", at positions 1039 to 1533 of the family's 1533-position model. Lineage: Bacteria; Pseudomonadati; Campylobacterota; Epsilonproteobacteria; Campylobacterales; Campylobacteraceae. RNAcentral also lists the same sequence under 1 other name. The record is from RNAcentral.